AAUGAACGCUGGCGGCAGGCCUAACACAUGCAAGUCGAACGAGAGCACCGGGAGUAGUGGCGCAUGGGGGCGUAACGCGGGGGAAGCUGCCCGUAUGCACCGAAUAAAUCCCCGAAGGGGGUGCUAACACAGGAUAAUGUACUCUGACAAAAGAUUCGUCGCCCUGGGGUGGGCCGGCGUUGGAUUAGCCUGUUGGUAGGGUAAGAGCCUAUGAAGGCAACGAUAGCUAGCCGGGAUUGGAGGACGGUCAGCGACACUGGGACUAAGACACGGCCCAGACUCCUACAGGAGGCAGCCGUGGGUAAUAUUGGACAAUCGACUAAAGCCUGAUCCAGCUAUGCUGCGUGAGUGAUGAAGGUCUUAGAGUUGAAAAGCUCGUUUACCCGGGAUUAUAAUGACGGUACCGGAAGAAUAAGCACCGGCUAACUCCGUG
This 433-nucleotide ribosomal RNA is filed under the name uncultured bacterium. RNAcentral's name for it is "partial 16S ribosomal RNA". It matches the Rfam family "Bacterial small subunit ribosomal RNA", at positions 29 to 507 of the family's 1533-position model. The record is from RNAcentral.